AGUGAACGCUGGCGGUAGGCCUAACACAUGCAAGUCGAACGGCAGCACCGUAAGAGCUUGCUCUUACGGGUGGCGAGUGGCGGAAGGGUGAGGAAUACAUCGGAAUCUACUUUUUCGUGGGGGCUAACGUAGGGAAACUUACGCUAAUACCGCAUACGACCUACGGGUGAAAGCCGGGGAUCUUCGGACCUUGCGCGAUUGAAAGAGCCGAUGUCGGCUUAGCUAGUUGGCGGGGUAAAGGCCCUACAAGGCCACGAUCCGUAGCUGGUCCGAGAGGAUGAUCAGCUACACUGGAACUGAGACACGUCCCACACUCCUACGGGAGGACGCAGUGGGGAAUAUUGGACAAGGCGGCCAAGCCUGAUCCAGCCAUACCGCGUGGGUGAAGAAGGCGUUAUGGUUGGAAAGUCCUUUUGGUGGGAAAGAAAAGCAGCAGUUUAAUACCCCGCUGUUCUGACGGUACCCAAAGAAUAAGCACCGGCUAACUUCGUG
RNAcentral lists this ribosomal RNA (492 nucleotides) under uncultured bacterium. RNAcentral's name for it is "partial 16S ribosomal RNA". It matches the Rfam family "Bacterial small subunit ribosomal RNA", at positions 29 to 507 of the family's 1533-position model. The record is from RNAcentral.